Molecule: long non-coding RNA, 7950 nt
Filed under: Lactuca sativa (garden lettuce)
Lineage: Eukaryota; Viridiplantae; Streptophyta; Magnoliopsida; Asterales; Asteraceae
Description: long non-coding RNA (LSAT_LNC002329)
Source: RNAcentral
CUAAUAACUAAUGCAAACUAAUAUGCCCUUGUUGCGAAAGUAAAUCUGAGUUGCUCUGACUGGAUUACUACCUGCGAUCAAGCCCUUGCACACAAGAAAUGAACCCGUCAGCCUUUCUCCUGGAGGUGAUCCCGAAAGGACACUCCGACAGUCAAGUCAGUAUCUUGAGAGAGGUGAGGAGUAGUGAGAAUAUUAGCUUAAGGGAACUUACUGUUGAGGGUGUGGUUGUUGGCUUUAUAUAGUAAGACCCGACCAGUGGCUCCGCUUUGUGAGACAAUAGUGUAGUCUUGAUACAGGACAGUGACACUCAUGGGAGGAGAUAUCCUUUGCUCCUUGCCUUGGGUUGUUAUUGGUUCAGAGAGCAUGUUGAUAGCGGUGCGUGUGUCACUAAGGUUGUCGGUGUUGGAUUAAUGUCUAAGUCCAUAACUAUAAUUGGUAAGACUUGACCCGACCCGGCAUGGUCCAUUUGGGUUGCAAACCUUCAUGCACUUAGAUAGACUAUAAUGAGAGAAAUAAGACACUUAUGGUUAUUAAUAUAUUAUAAGUACUAGUAUAUUAAUAAUAAGAAUAAUAAGAUUGUUUAAUUAGUAUUGAUCAAGAAUUAAUCUAGGAUUAAUUAAGUGAUCAAAAGAAGACUAAUUAAAUAUAUGAGUUGAUUGUGUAAAUCAUCCAUACUUAUAUAGUGGGCUAAUGCUCCAUGGAUAAUCAAGUUGGGCUAAAACCCAUAGGAUGGUCCAUGGGUGCUCCAUGGUGUAUUUGAACCCAUGGAUCCAAGGAAAUGGAAAGUCAUGACAAUUAAGGAUUUACCCUAAUUGUAACACUAUAUAAUGAUCUUAUUCUUGACAAAAAUCGGCCACUAGGAUUAUUCUAGAGAGGGUUAGCCGAUUUCAUGAAGUGUAGAACUCUCUCAAGUUAUUCUAAGUGUUUUGAUAACUGUGAUUCCAUUUGAGGCUUCCACACUAUUGGGGCUAGGCACUCAAGCUUCAUGAAGACUUUCUACAUCAAAGAGGUAUGUAUUCUAUCUUGUUAUAUUCAUGUUUUGUAUGAUAGAUUAGGAUGAUACCUUGGAUAUUCUUAUUUGCAUGUAUAAUAGAGAAAACAUAGAUCCAAGGUAUUUAGGGUUGCAUGUACACUUAGGAGUGUUAGAAUGCUCAAAACCCAACAGUGGUAUCAGAGCCUAGGCAUGUUUUCUUGUUAUACUUGCAAAUGGAGCUGAAAAAUCGAGUUGUGAUGCUGUCAGCCCAGCAGACUCGCCGAGUCCAUGAAGGGACUCGACGAGUCCAAGGCAAAAUUCAUCCAACUCGCCGAGUUAUGUUCAUGCACUCGACGAGUUGGACCCCAGACAGCAUAUUUUCGAGGUUUUUGGCUAGAAAUGGACUAGGAACAUUACCCUACGUUGUUUUUGAACUUAUAAACUUGUUUUUUAAUGUGGUAAUGUUCAUGCUAAUCCAUUUUCAAAGAUAAUUGUCAAUAGAUUCAUGUUUUGUAUUAGUUUAAGGUUUAGACUAAUUACAUGAAGAAGUUUGAUAUGAAUUAUCUUGUUCUUAUGAGUUGCUUAGAUUAAUAGAAAAGUUAAUUGAAAUAGUUGUUUUCAAUCCAUUUUAAUCUAAGAGUUGAGUACAAAAUGUGUUUGUGUAACUUGUCCUCAAGUUACAUGAAGAGUCACAUUAAAGACUCAUAAAACUCAUAAAAGUUGGUAAUGGUUACAAAAUGAAGAGUCUUGUGUCAUUUAAUUUUUUUUUAUGACUCCAUAACUUGUCCUCAAGUUAUGGAAAUUCAAGAGUCACUUCAUUAAUAAAUAAAUAAAUAAAUAAAGUGUAACCUUAAUUAAUUCCAUAAGUUAUAAAAAUAAAGAAAAGAUUAAUUCUUUUAUUAGUUUAAAGUCUUCCAUAAGUUAUGGAACUUGAAGAGUUUUUUGGAUUAAAACUACUUUAAACACAUAAGUUAUGGAAUUAAUUAGUUUUGAAUAGUUUCAAAACUUGCCCUCAAGUUUUGGAAUUUGAAAAGUUUUCACUUAUGAAUACUUUAAUUCCAAGUUAGCCCUUAGAUUUUUAAAAAAGUUAAAAUUCAACACUUAUACUAUUUAUAACAUUAAUGGUUAAUUAUUAUAUAUAUGUAUAAGAACAAGUCGUUUUACCGUUAGUAGGCCUCAUUCACGAAGCCGGUCUAUAAGGUGGGUAUAAGGUUGUUGCCUAUAAAAUGGCGACUUAAUGGGUGUCUACUCUCACCCACCGCUUGCUUGACUGGUGGAGGGUCGUUAGCCGAACGGGUAGGACAAUGACUUUAAAUUCUCCCUUCAUUAAAAGUAUUAAUGAUAAAUACUAAAGUAACUAAAAUCUUAAUAAUUCCCAAUCUUAGUUACUUUAGGAAAAAUGUGAAUUUGGUGCUAACCCAUGGAAUUCACACUUUGUACCUUACCAAGUCGUUGGUGGAGCGUGUGUGGUUAACCGGCACACUAACUUGGACUAGUAAGGACCACGAAGGGUGACUUAAUGUUUGUCAUAGAUCAAUGGAGCGUGUGUGGUUAACCGGCACAUUGAUUAGGUGAUAAUAUUAAGGGUACCAAGUGAAUUGGUAUGGUUAUUCACACCUUGUUUUGUGAUCCUCGGCAUCCCAGUCACAAAAUUUGAGAGGGCACACUCGAGAUUGAAACAUGCCAUUGAAAAGUUCAAUGAAUCUCAAAAGAUCUAGGAAUUUCAAAUCCAAUUAAAACCUAAUAAAUUAUUUCGUUUUUCAUGGUGGAAAUUGGUGAAUCGUCAUUCGCCUACCUUCAAAUAUUUUAUAGCUUGGAUUACGGCAUCCCUCUUCUAAGUUAUAAAAUAGUUUGUUGGGUCCUAGCCUUAAUAUUUCAUAUUGGGUGUCAUAUUAAGGACUUUAAAUCAACUAUCUUGAAUAUCUCCCAAAACAUGUCUGGUUUAGACAUUUAUGAUCUUCCCAAAUCUCUUGAAGAUGAUGUUCCUCAACAUCAUGCUUCACUUCCUUUAUCUCCUCCAAUUAUUCUCCCUCACCCACAAGUUCUUGAAAAGUUUAAAGUCACUCAAGCCCUAUUGGCAAGUUAAGGUCUUGGUGUGGUCACAUCUUGGAGAUGUAGUCACAUAUUGACAAGACGGGAGAGUUGGGUGUCAAAGUCUCGUGAAAGUUGGAUGUUCAAUCACUUUCUUAGUAACAUAGCGGGUCACUUUGGGACUACUAUGAGACAGACUAUGACACGAGCCUUAAUGAUCUUAUCUAUUUGUUUUGUGCUGUGGAAUCAGCAAUGAUUUGGAACACUAGUAAAGCAAAUUUUGUUAGAAGAUCAACUUCCCAAACCUUAAAUGGACAUUGGCAAUGGUAGCAUUGGAUAUCUAGAAAAGCAUUUCUCUUCCCAAUGGAAAGGGAUCGGCCAUAGUCAACUCGGUUGACCAAAUGGUAAAGAGAAAGGCUAAGUCUGAAAUAGUCUCAUGUGCCAUUAUCAAAGGGUCUCCAUAUGUUUAUAUUGCCAAAGAAAGGGGCAUUGGUUGCGAAGCUGCCCUAUUUACCUGAAAGGUCAUAAGGUUGAUCAAGUCAAGAGGUUUGACUCUACUUCGGGUAAAAUACACUGUAUAACUCUGUUAAGUUCCUAUUUGGAGAUUCUUAUUACAUAAUGUGAAUGGGUCACAUGCUGAUGUCUUUUAAGAAUCAAAGAAAAGAUAGGAAGCUUAAAGUAAGUAUAUGCUGAUUCUGAUUGCGAAGAUGGGUUUCGAUCGCAUGGUUCGGUAAUCAGAAUUUUGAGCUGUUGCUUAAGAGUUAUAAUAUAUUGCUUGUGAAUAGAUAACAACAAGGUUUUCAUGUGGAUUGUAAGGAUAAGUUUUUCCGCAAAGUUUUAAAAUAAAAGAAAAAAAGGUUUUAAUUUUAUUUAUUUUAAAAAUAUCCUUACAAUGGCAUCGGUGGAAAAUUGUUGCUUAUAUGUUUCCAGUAAUAGCAAUAUUGGAAAGUGGAUUUGAUUCUUUCAUUUGUGGUAGUGUCUGAAUUUACCAAAUGAAGAAAGUUUUUCAUCACCCAAGUUUCAAUUGGACAGAAACUUGGAAUCAUACAAGUUGUAUUGUAUGAUGAAUGAGAAUUUUCAUCUUUGAAAAAUUAAGACUAAUUCUUUGAUCACAUGUAUAUGUGAGUCAAUUGAAGGACUAAGGAAUUAGGUACACUGGGUGUGCGCUGGUCAAGGUCCACCACAAAGAUUGAUUUGUCAUGAUUUACUAAAGAUUAGUAAAUAUGAUUAUACUUAUAAGGUUAAGUAUAAUUUUGUAACAUUGGAAAACGAAUAAGAAGAAUCAAAUUAGGCAGAAAGAUAAAAGUUUCUCAAAUCUGAAAGGACGGGAGAGUACUUUAGUAUCAGCUUUGUGAUCAUCUUAAUGAUUAAGAAACCAUAUCAAAAUUUGUUCUCUAAGAAAGUCUUAGUGCAUUCUUAUGACUAAGAAGAAGGGAUCUUGAAAUUGUUGAAAUGGUUAAAUCAAGAAGAUGAAUCAUACUUCGUUCCAAUACAAGUCUUGGAGUCAUACUCCAAGAUUGUAAUUUGAGUGACAUGUCUUAAAGAAGGUUUAAAACACUUAUCAAAUGUAAGAGUAAAAUGUUUUCUACUCUUGUACAUUUGAGAUUGGUAAGUUGUGAUGUCUUGGAUGAGACAAAGACCAACUAAGACCAAUUGUGUGAAGUGUUAGUCUUGAUAAGAAUCCGCACUAUCCCUUGAAUAUUUGUUUUAUCAAGGAAUGGUUCUUGACUAGGAAAACUUAUAUGUCAAGGGGACAGUGGGAGCCUUAAAGAUCCUGAAAGAGUUUCAAGAUUUAAUCAAGAGUAAAACCUGUAAUUUAUCACUAGCACACGACUUAAGGUUUUCAACCUAUCGUGUUGACAUAAUUCUUAUUUCUGUACCUACUUCAAAUAAGUUGAAUUUACAUGUGAGUUAUCAGAGUUCAACUUGGAAGCAUUGGUGGGCCUUGUGUUACCAAGGUGACAAGAAACUAAGAUUGAAUAAGUUUAAUCCAUGUAGGGCUGAAUUUGUCACUAACCUUAUCUUGUGAUUAUGGUUUUGACAAAUUCGCAUGGAUAGGAACUCAUACACUAUUAAAUCUAAGUGUCAUAAGGUUUCUCUCCGAUUCAUGAAAAUGAUGGUGAGGAAAUGCUUUCACUAAAUAGAUUUUAAGUAGAUAUCAAUUGUGUCAUUUGCAUUUUCAAAAGUCAUUAGUGGAGCGCGUGUGGUUAACCGGCACACUAACAUGGACUUGUGAGAAAUGGCAAAUGCCUAAGCAAUUGAGACUAUGAUUACGGCAUCCCUUUUCAUAGUUCUGAAAAUUGUUUAGACACACAUGUGAGCUAUCUAAGAAAGGGUGUAUGAAUCUAAAUUUCAGAAGUCCAACAGAUUUCUGGAAAUGUGUCAGAGCUAGUGGGAGCAUAAGUGUUAUGCUGAUAAUCAUCAUGUUAGUGGGAGCAUGACUAUUAUGAUUAGUAUUGCAAGCUAGCAAUGUUAAUUAUAGAAAACAAAGUUUCAAUCCGUGAAGUUGCAGGGGUUGAAAAGUUGUUUUGCUAUAAUUAAGGGAGAGGAAAUUAUACUUCAUGUCAAUUCUAAAGCUUAGAUUGAGAUUUUAAUCAUCUUUAGUCAAGAAUAUAUGUGAAUUUUGUGUUGGAAUGGUUCAACUUGAAGAAAUUCUAUAUAUAUUGCAUUUUCAAAAUUCGAUUAUGAUUACGGCAUCCCUCUUCAUAGUUAAAUUUUGAAAACAUGGCAAAUAAAAAAUAUUGUAGCAAAAGACUGGUCUAGUGUCAUGUCUUUAUGUCAAACAUCAUGAAUAGUAUCCCAUAUGCUUCGGAUAUAGGAUCGAUUUCAUGUGCUAUAAUAUUCAUCCUUUCUAAAUUUUCCAAAUGCUUAAGGCAUUUAGAAGGGAAAAGUCUAGAACUGGAUAUGACUAAAGUGAUUAAGCAAUUGUCGAGGACAAUCUGAGGUUCGCCAAAGAUUGGUUGCUCAGGGACAUUUGGAAGUCUAGUGUUAAUUUUGGUAGGACCAUAUCGACAUUUUCUGAAAAGAGGUAACUCUUGUUCGGAAGUGAUAGUCAAAUAGGACUAUGGAAAUGUCUCCAUAGGUGGAAGUGAUUCAAUCUAUGUAAGAUUAGGAAACUUAAUGCAAAAAGGAUGUUCCCAAGGAGCUGAUCUCCUUUGGAAUGCUCUGUAAUGGUUGUUGUCAAGUCUUUCUGACUUUGUGCAUAAUCAUUACAAGAGGAUCAAUGCAUAUAAGUUUAGAAUCUAACAGAUUUCAGUAAAUGACAUAAAUUUGGAAUUCUUGCAUUUACAAUAAGGAUUUGGGAUUGUGAAAUGAGUAUCAUUGGAAUCAUGUUCAAUUGAUCUACAUCACAAUGUAAGGAUCAUAGACAAACAUAGUGUGCAUACUUGGGGUAUGGCAUAACUAUUGUUUAGAAAAACAAAGUGUACAUGCUAGGAGCAUGGGACGACUGUUGUUUUUAUUCAAGUCUUAAGUUGAUUAUUUGAAACAUUGAAUAAUGUGUAAUCAAUAUGGUGAUAAAUAAAAAGUGGUUUUAUUUAUAUUCAAAAGGGUUCUGAGACCAUAUUAGAUUCGAUUAUUAUUGUAUUUCACUUUGCAUGUUUUGACUUCCAAAAUAGCUAGGUUAUUCUUUCCGGAUGACUAAGUUAUUUAAACACUCCACAGUCGUUCAUAUGUUGGAAGUAGGUAUGAAUCAAGACUGUCAUGAAUCGGGUUUGUAGAUGGCUAAAUGAGUUUAGUCAUGGCAAUGGUUGCUACAACAUUCAUGAGUACUCAUAAGUUAUGAGUAUUGGAAUAAACCCACGCUCACUUGUAUCACUUCAUGGAAUUUAUCUCGAGUGAUCGUGAGACGAUAAUAUCAUAUAAAUCUUCAAACCUAGAGAUAUGAGUUGUUACCUAUGAGUUGGUUGUGCAUUGAUUGCACGUAAACGCAUCAGUAACUUGAUGUUAUAAAACGUGCCUUUGUGUACAAUUCAACAAGUAGUAGAACAAGCAUAUGAGUCGAAGUUUAUCUGUUCCUUCUAGAAAUAGAAGCGAUAUCUGGGCCCCUCGAUGAUUUUGUUGUGACCUAUGUACCGGCCGGUCAGAACUGAAUUGAUGUGUUCGAUUAAGUUCUUUGUCAAACAAAUCGAAAAUCGGGAAACAAACUGCUGGACAAUAAGUACGACGUUGUUCCAUGUAUUUGUCCGGCUGAUAUCAUGAGAACAGAGGAUUAUAUGAUCCCUUAUCUAAUGGACAAGUCAUUGACAAGAUCAGAGUUCAUCUACAAGGUCAGAGUUCGACAGAAGCUUUUGAGAGCUACGAUUGUCGGUUGGUUCCUGAAGUCAUACGCAAUAAUAGUUUUAGACUUAUCCAAGUGGGAGACUGUUGGAUUAAUGUCUAAGUCCAUAACUAUAAUUGGUAAGACUUGACCCGACCCGGCAUGGUCCAUUUGGGUUGCAAACCUUCAUGCACUUAGAUAGACUAUAAUGAGAGAAAUAAGACACUUAUGGUUAUUAAUAUAUUAUAAGUACUAGUAUAUUAAUAAUAAGAAUAAUAAGAUUGUUUAAUUAGUAUUGAUCAAGAAUUAAUCUAGGAUUAAUUAAGUGAUCAAAAGAAGACUAAUUAAAUAUAUGAGUUGAUUGUGUAAAUCAUCCAUACUUAUAUAGUGGGCUAAUGCUCCAUGGAUAAUCAAGUUGGGCUAAAACCCAUAGGAUGGUCCAUGGGUGCUCCAUGGUGUAUUUGAACCCAUGGAUCCAAGGAAAUGGAAAGUCAUGACAAUUAAGGAUUUACCCUAAUUGUAACACUAUAUAAUGAUCUUAUUCUUGACAAAAAUCGGCCACUAGGAUUAUUCUAGAGAGGGCUAGCCGAUUUCAUGAAGUGUAGAACUCUCUCAAGUUAUUCUAAGUGUUUUGAUAACUGUGAUUCCAUUUGAGGCUUCCACACUAUUGGGGCUAGGCACUCAAGCU